ACUUUUUAUUCCAGGCUGCAGUAUUAGUAUAAUAUACCUCUAAAUUGUACGUAGUAUAACCCACCUCUAAAUGAAACUGAUUGAAUGAAGAGUUACUGGCGGAAGCGGUCGGUUUAGUUCCGAACGUCCUAUAAUUUAAUUUUAGUGCUAUUGCAUCCUUGGCCAACAAUAUUCAGCACACAGCUAAGCCUUCUCUUCGAUCUUGAAUCUUCAAUUUUCAUUCAUCUACUCCCUAUUUUUCCUCUUAACUUUUCUUAGAAGAACAUCACCUGCAAAAAAAAAAAAAAAUGCUUUUCUGAUAUUUCAACCAAGUCCCAUCUCACAAACCCUAGUUUAUCAUUCAUAUCCUUGCCCGAAGGCAAAACAGUGUAAAAGAGGAGCACAAAAGUAGAAAAUCUUCCUCAAUCUGAUCAUUAGUAGCCGAAUCUGCUCUGGUCAGAAGAGGAAUUUAAACUUUUUAACUAUUUGCUUUGGGAAUUUCGGUUUUAUUUGUUUAAAAUGGCUGGGAGAAACCGCGUUCCUCGUGAAGCCUUCAAUGACCGGCGUGGAUUCCCCCCCGAGAGGCCGUUCUUUCGUGGUCCUCCUCUGCCACAGCCACCUCAUCCUGCGUUGUUGGAGGAAGAACUUGAAAUGCAGCAUGCUGAAAUUCGAAAGCUUUUGACUGAUAACCACAGGCUGGUAGAAGAUCGAAUGGCUAUACAACAAGAGCUUGUGGCUGCAAAGGAGGAAAUUCAUCGUUUGAAUCUUGUCAUUGGUGAAAUUCGUGCAGAACAGGAACUGCAUUCAAGGGGACUUAUUGAAAAAGGCUUGAAACUGGAGGCAGAUCUUCGUGCAACUGAGCCACUGAAAAAAGAGGCUAUGCAACUCCGCUCAGAAGUUCAGAAACUGAAUAACGUUAAUCAGGAUCUAACUGGCCAGGUUCAGACUCUCAAGAAGGAUAUUACUCGGCUGCAAGCUGAUAAUCAGCAGAUUCCUAUUCUCAGAGCAGAAGUUGAUGGCUUGCACCAGGAGUUGAUGCGUGCAAGGACUGCUAUUGAUUAUGAAAAAAAGGCAAACAUUGAGCUGAUGGAACAGAGACAAGCAAUGGAGAAGAACAUGGUCUCCAUGGCACGUGAAGUUGAAAAGCUACGUGCAGAACUUUCUAGUGUGGAUGCUAGACCAUGGGCUGCAGGUGCACCGUAUGGGAUGAAAUUCAACAGUUCAGAGGGCGCUUUUCCAGCUGGAUAUGGGGCUCAUCUGGGUGCUGCUGACAAGGGUCCUUUUUACGGACCUGGCCCUGCUUCUUGGGAGAAGCCACGCAUGAAUCGUCGCUAGGAAAGUUAUUACUUGAUGGAAGAAGGCUGACAUUGUUACUUCACUUAUGAAGUUCAAAAUAUUGAUCAGCAUGGAGUUCAUCUAUGCAUGCAUGCCGCAUCAGUAAUAUUUAUCUUUAUAAAUUGUUAGUCAUCUUGAACUUCUUACAUGAGAUUCCGUGUUACUUUAUGGUAAUUGGUAGAGGAGGUGGUACCCCCUUAUAUAUAGACAAGUUCUUAAUAUGAUAAUUUGGACUGCUAUUGGAUCCAAUUCUUCAUUGCUUCAUUGCCAGUUUUCUUUUUCUUUUAUCUUUUGGUUGUUUGUUUCUAGAUAAUUUACUAGCAUUGUUGGUUGAUUAUAACUGUUAUUACUUUCAGUUUUAGUGCUGGCCCCUGAAUAGGGUAGUUGUCUGGGGGGUGCUUGAAAUAUAUGGCGCUUAUGAAUGAAGCUUUUGCUUCCAACGUAGAACUUGCAAGUUAAUUGACAUGGUAUGGUUUUUAUUGAUUUGGAAAAAUUCCUGGAACUAUUUUUGUGAAAUAGUAUAUUUUAGAAGGAUGCAAUGAAGUUAUGCCUAGCUGUAGUAAGGUAAUGGAAUGUUGAAUGGCACUCAGAUUCUACAUUUUAGUUUUGGUUAAUGAUUUUAGUUAGUAGGUCUUCUUGUGCAGCACUUGACUAUCUGUGUAUUUUGUUGAGGGUAUGUUUUUCUUGAAAAUUGAAGCAUUGGAAUUGGAUAUUGUUAAUCUUGAGUGCACUAUGGAAGAUAAAUAGGGUAUAAUGUUCUCAUGGUAGAUGGGGAUCUAAUCAUUUUGAGCAUUUACUCUCGGAAGCAGAAAUUGAUGUGGAGGAUAUGAUUCAACUUGCUUCUGAGGGGUCACUUUAUGGACUGUUCAGAGUUGCUCUGUUAAACUUUGAAUGCAUAUUAUUCAUUCUGAGCUGAAUUGAAACCUUGUACCCCUGCGGAAUCCGAUGUGCAGUUUUGGAAUAUCCUUAGGAGGUUGAGUUGCGUGUUUUCCACGAAUAAAAAUUUCUAAGAAUGAAUUGUUAUUUAUUAAUUGAUAUGAUAUGGAUGUUCUGUUGGAUAGAGAGAAUGAUCCCAUGCUACAGAAGUAAAUCAUUUAGGAUGUUCAGGAGCUGAAUUUUUCUGUGAUUUUAUUCGCUCUUGUUUCUUCUUGUCCGCUGACAACAUACUGGGCCUGAAUAUGCUGGUCCUUUGGGAAUUCUUCAAGCUCUGGCAGAUGGAGCAAACUUGCUUCUCAAAGAGAAUAUCCUUCCAUUGAGAGGAAAUGGUUUAUUCAGUAUUGGACCAUCUAUAGCAUCCAUAGCAAUUUUAUUAAGUUUUUCUGUAAUUCCUUUUAGCUCUCGCCUUACUUUAGCUGAUCUCAAUAUUAGUAUUUUCAUGGAUUUCCAUUUUAGGUAUUGCUACAAGGUGUUUGCUGCAAAUUUUAGUGGCUUUGAAUUUAGUUCAUUGGUGUUCUCCUUGCUAGGAAAUCUUAAGAGGAGAAUCAUUUGUCUUUCUUACAUUUACUGUAAAGUCCCUUCAGUAUCCAUUGCCAGGUUCUCUUUGAAGUUCGGAGGUGCAAGUGUCGUAGGGAAUCUUAAAAUGGCAUGUUGUGUGAGCAGGACUUGUUUGGAAAUCAUGUUGGGAAUGGUUCUCAUUUCUUUUUGGAAUAUAUGACAUGGAAAACUGGUGCGGAGUUCCCCCAAUGGAGUCUUGAGAUUGUUCUGAAGAGCAGGACCGUUGGUUUGACUUCUAAUGGAUUUUGACUUGAAGUAUCUUGUAUAGAGAAAGUACUAAUCUUGGUAUGGUUUGCAGAACUUCUUAUAAUUACUUUGAUGAUUAAAGUAGGUUUUCCCUACUUUGAAGUGUGGGCCAAUGUUGACAUUUAUGCAUGCAGUACCAAUACUUAUCUUGAGUGUUAGUUAACAUGUUCUUGUUAGUUUAUCAGAAUUACAAGAAAGUUUAGCUCACAAAAAAUGAACUGAAAUAUGAUUCAAAUAGUCAUUCCUUUGUUUUUUAAGAGGAUUUAUGAUAGAGUUUGAUGGCGUUCUAUAUUUGAGGGAUUUCUAGUAUUAAGCUGAUGCAGUGAAUCACAAUGUCUUACACAGUGAAAAGGGUUUCGUUUUUGGAGUAUUCUUUAGUUAUUGGACGCUUUGCCAUAAAUGGCCUGGUGCCAUUGGUAUAUCCUUUCAAAACACACAUGGUAGUUGAAUAAAAAAAUCACCGCUCCUUGAUGGGAUGAAGCAUUGUUUUCAAUUCAUCCUUUUAUUUUCAUAGCCAUGGUCUGUAGUUUUAUGCCAUGUUCCUAGCAUCAUCUGCAGCUUGUUCUGGUGCAACUCUACUGCUCAGCUAUCAUUUUUGUUCAGCAAAUUUAUUCAGUGGUCAACAUAUCCCAGCCACCUAUGAAAUUACAAGUGGUUCUUUUAUGCAUCGACCUGACACUAAAAAUAUCUCAAGGAUGAUGGGCAUGCCAUGUGGAAGAGGCUGACUACUGUUCUUUACUUUAUAGUAGACAGGAAACUGGUAUGCCUCGUGCAAAAAGAUGCAGAAAGAAGAUUAGUUAAAUCUUGCAUGAAAUUGAGGAAAUAUGAACGAGGUAAAGUUACAUCAUUACAUGUGCUUCCAGACAAAAUUGGAAGAAAAUGAACACCCCAUCAAAUAACAUGCCCAGAAGAUGCUAACACCUCCUAACUUUUUUGUUAGUGGUUCAUACUGGGAUAUAUUCUGAAACUUGUAUUCUGAAAACCUUUGAAAUUAAAAAUAACUUUCUAUUUUGAGAGAAGCGUUUCCCGACCCUAAUUACUAACAAAUACCAAAUAACUAGUUGCAUUUGUUAAAUACUGGUAGGAAA
Gossypium arboreum is the source of this 4142-nucleotide RNA transcript. It is a transcript of the gene named protein FLX-like 3, with no coding region annotated. The record is from RefSeq and is a predicted model, not a curated record. The transcript is spliced from 7 exons. Lineage: Eukaryota; Viridiplantae; Streptophyta; Magnoliopsida; Malvales; Malvaceae.